GCGCGAAAUUACCAGAAACACAAUCCAAAUCAACUUUGUAGCACGCUGAACAAAAAUUGAACCACAAACCUAACAAUUCCACGGAUUUUCCCCUAAAUUAGCGGAUUGGGCUCUCUGCUCGUGUAGAAUUUCAAGAAAUUGUAGGAGCUCAUUCAUUUGAGUUAGCACCUGAUUUGUUGGGAUAAGCAAUGCAUGAGCCUAGACACUGAAGGUAUUGUUGAAGAGUACUUUCCAGUUUAUUAUACCAAUGAAUAAGCAGAGAAAGAAGGAAUUAUAUAUGUUUCUGUACAUGAAAGAAUCAGGUUCCUCUUUGUACCUAAUCUUUUCUUUCAUGUAGAAUUUUGGUAUAGUUAUUUGUUGCCCUUUACUCAAGAGGCUGAGAUUGAUGAACUUUGAUGGCUUCACCUCUCCCAAUUUUCAUGCUUCACAUUUCCACUUCUUUGAUCUCUGUAUAUGAACUCUGGAAUUGCAAGAAAUCCAGCUUUUAGCAGCCGAGGCAAUUCGAUUCAUAUUCUUCAGCUUGAGGUGUAAAUCCUUGUUUGCAGAAAGCUUCAACCAAUUCCUAGACCAAAUCUAGAAUUAUGAUAUUUGGCUGCUGGAACAAGCCAAGACCAGCAUGUCUUGAUCAUAGUUUUCUUUCAAUUCACAUAUCUGGCUGCUCUUUCCCUUCCAAGAAGUUCUCCCAACUUUCUGGAUCUUGAGCUGUUGGGUAAUUUUCCUUUCAAUACAUUUAUGCAGAUACACCUCCUUCGGCUACGAAAUCACUUGUCUUUACAUCAAUCUUACUUUUGCUUUCUUUUCUGAUCUUUCCUUCAAUAUAACUUUCCUUUCACUAUAUCGAUUAAUAAUAUACACUAAUCCACCCAACAUAUGCAUGACUGAACAAUUAUGAUCUUGUUUGAUCAUGUGAUCUUUCAAAUACUCAAUCUUAUGUAUUGUCAAUCUAAUCUAUCACCUGAUGCAAAGUGCAAACACCCUCUUAUAGGAUUGCUAAGAGGAAUAUAGCUAGGCUGCUAGUAGAACAGCUGUCAAUUCCUUCUAGCAACUUCGUCUUAUUAAGAUUGUUGGAAUAUCUUGCAUCAAUUUAGAGCAUCUCCAACCAUUUAAUCUAUGAAACUCUAAAAUAGAGUACGAGUUGAACAUCGAACAAUGUCCCACGUUUGCUGACACUCGACCCCUAGCGUGUGGUCGAGUGUCGUGCAACGCAGAACCUGCCAUGUGGAGUAGUUGAUGUUUCAUGCGGGCGUUGAAAGAAAAGGCGAGACCUAUGUCAUCUUCUCUUCUGCAACUGUUCUUCUACUUUUUUUUGUCACUUUAUUGAUUGGAAAUAGAUGAAAAUCUAUUACUUUUUGAGGUAUUGUGAUGUAUGAUUGCUUGAUAUUGGAGUGGGUUGCUUGUUAUCAUCAAA
Molecule: long non-coding RNA, 1408 nt
Organism: Salvia miltiorrhiza (redroot sage)
Lineage: Eukaryota; Viridiplantae; Streptophyta; Magnoliopsida; Lamiales; Lamiaceae
Exons: 4
Source: RefSeq, a predicted model, not a curated record